ACACAAGGAGAGUCAUCUGAGAAGAGGGAACCUCAAUUGAAAAAAGAAAAAGUUUCCAUACGAUCAGCCUGCAGGCAAGCCUGUGGAGAAUUCUCUUGACUGACGAUUGAUGUGAAGACCUGAUCCUCCUGUGGGUUGUGCCACUCCUAGGCUAAUGGUCCUGAGGUGCAGAAGAAAGUAAACUGAACAAGCCAGAAGUAUUAAGCAAGUAGACAGCAUUCUUCCCUGCUCUCUGUCUCAGUUCCUGCCCCGCAGGUCCUGCCUAGGCUUCCCUCAGUGAUGGACUAUCGUCUGGAAGUGUCACACGAUUACCAAGUGAUCGUGUAUAAACAAGAGGGUGUUUUAUGCUGAUAAAUGGACUCCCACUGUCGCAUACGGCCCCGGGAGUCUGCAUUAACAACAAGCUGAGACAAAGAAGAGAACAUGGCAUUCAUUUUAACAGUGGGCAUUUAUCAUUGGUGACAUUACCUGAUACGGCUGAUAAUCUAAAGCAUUACGACUUCUGAACAAAAUCUGAUUCAUAAAGACAUAUAAGGAGAUAAACCAUGACAACUAAUAGGAAUUUCCUGGACUGCUGCAAAUGGAAUAAUCUUAUCUAUAUUCAUCAGCUAGCCAGCUCUCUCCUCCCACUAAAAAGGAGACAAGGUACAUUCACAACUCCUAUUAGUGCUAAUAGCGGCUUUAGAAGCAAAUACCUUGUUCCUCCACAGGAAAGGACACCAGCCCGCCUUUGUUCCAAUAUCCUGCAAUCUUGUGUCAGUUGGAGUUAAUUGGUGGAAAUCUGGGAUACAAGCAAUUUGGAACUAAUCUCUAAAAAUGAUGGCCAGGGCAGCUGACAGUAGCAGUGACUGGCUCCAAAGCAGAUAGGGUUUUCUUUGUUGGCCUGAAGCUCUGCCAUCAACUUGUUUUCACUUCUUUCACCAGCCUCUCUGGACAAACUGCACAGGAAGGCUGUGGAUAAGGAACAAUCUCAGGGAUUCAUUCUUGCACGAUACAAUGGGCCUCUGAGACAGAAGAAGUAAAUUUGGCCAUUCAUCUAGUUUGUGGAGGUUGGCAAGUAGUUUUGAUAUCUCUGCAUCCUUACUUCGUCUUUAGUCAUAUCAAUCGUCCACCUAGGUGUGCUAGUACCUGCCUGUAACCCCAAUAUUCAAGACAUUGAGACAGGAGGAUUAUUGAGUUUGAAGCCAAUUAUACUCUAUAGGAAAAC
This 1207-nucleotide long non-coding RNA is filed under the name Cricetulus griseus (Chinese hamster). Its description in RNAcentral is "lncRNA (ENSCGRG00015041394.1)". The record is from RNAcentral. Lineage: Eukaryota; Metazoa; Chordata; Mammalia; Rodentia; Cricetidae.